This 207-nucleotide ribosomal RNA is filed under the name uncultured bacterium. Its description in RNAcentral is "partial 16S ribosomal RNA". It matches the Rfam family "Bacterial small subunit ribosomal RNA", at positions 568 to 774 of the family's 1533-position model. The record is from RNAcentral.
CUCGUAGGCGGUUCGUCGCGUCCGGUGUGAAAGUCCAUCGCUUAACGGUGGAUCCGCGCCGGGUACGGGCGGGCUUGAGUGCGGUAGGGGAGACUGGAAUUCCCGGUGUAACGGUGGAAUAUGUAGAUAUCGGGAAGAACACCAAUGGCGAAGGCAGGUCUCUGGGCCGUUACUGACGCUGAGGAGCGAAAGCGUGGGGAGCGAACA